This 107-nucleotide small RNA is filed under the name Klebsiella pneumoniae. RNAcentral describes it as "partial RtT sRNA". It matches the Rfam family "RtT RNA", at positions 1 to 104 of the family's 130-position model. From Rfam's summary of the family: This family represents a bacterial cis-regulatory element known as RtT RNA. The exact function of RtT is unknown although it is thought that it may be involved in changing the cellular response in relation to amino acid starvation. Lineage: Bacteria; Pseudomonadati; Pseudomonadota; Gammaproteobacteria; Enterobacterales; Enterobacteriaceae. The record is from RNAcentral.
UAUUCUGCCCCAUGGGGAAGGAUGAGAAGCUUCGACUAAGGUUCGACUCGAGCGCCAGCGAGAGAACGUUGCCACAGGCAACGGCCCGAAGGGCGAGGCGCUUUAGC